Molecule: long non-coding RNA, 1258 nt
Filed under: Mus musculus (house mouse)
Lineage: Eukaryota; Metazoa; Chordata; Mammalia; Rodentia; Muridae
Description: predicted gene, 40552
Source: RNAcentral
GCUGUAACAGAAUGCCAUUCUUUCUCUCUCUCCCUCGCCCUCCCUCCCCCUCCCCCUCUCCCUCUGUCCCUCUCUCUCUCUCUCUCUCUCUCUCUCUCUCUCUCUCUCUCUCUCUCUGUCCCUCUCUCUCUCUCCCUCCCUUGCCCUCCCUCCCCUCCCCCUCUCCCUCUGUCCCUCUCCCUCUCUCUCUCUCUCUCUCUCUCUCCCUCUCACUCUCUCUUUCUCUCUCCACACUUACCUUUUGUUUUCUUACAGUUCUAGAGGCUUAGAAAACUAGGACCAAGACACCAGUUUGUUACCUGCUAAGCACAUUCUUCCUCAUUUCUUGUCUUCUUGUGCCUUCUUUUGAUCUACAGGAAUAUCCUUCCCUGGUCUUUCUCACAAAGGCGUUCAAAUCAUCCUCAAGAUCAGAUCACCUUCCAAGGUCUCACUGCCAACACCAUCACCACAGACCAUGAGCUUCACCAUCCACAUUUUGAUGGAUUAUAUACAUUCAAGGGCUUGUUUGGUGGCUGGGAGGAGUCGGUGUAUGUUGAGGAUCAAGACAAGAAUGAGGUCAAUGAGAGAGCCCAAAAGUCCUCAUCUGGUUAUGAGAAAAAUGCAGUUUAUAAACUUCUCUUCUCUGAUGGAAAGAUGAGUUUUCUUUGUUUAUUUAUUGAUGAACCUGCCUAUAUUUUGGAACGAUGUAUAAAAUAUAGUUAAAAACAGAUUGAGGUAAAAUUCCUUCUCAAUUUUUCUGACUAUUAAUUUCAUAACUUCCCUGUGUCAUGGAUACCCAAAAGUAAAGUUAAUACUAUUUCUGAAUGUAUAUAUGUGAGGUUUUUUAAAAGAGAUUAGCAUUUGAAUGCGAGGGCUCAUUAAGAAAAUUACCCUUUCCCAGUGCCUCUAAGUUCCAUCCAAUCCACUGAGAAACUAUGACCUGGAUGAAACAGAAAGGCAAGGAAACGUUGAGUGUUUUUUCCUGAGCCUAAUCAUCAGGAUCCCCUGCGUAGACUGAAACUGUGACCACAGACACUUCAGACACUUCUGGUAUGUAACCCCUCCAGCUCAAUUUGGACUUAGAAUAUGACUUUUCUGGGUCUCCAGCUUGCAGAUAGCAGCCCUUACAACUUCCUUUCCUCCAAAGUCCUAUAAUAUAAUCAUGAGGCCUAUUAUUAAUAAUCCAUCCAUAUUUAUAAAUGCAUGUAUAUAUGUAAACAAGGCUCUGUCCAUCUGAAGAUCUCUGACUUAUAUAUCCUUGAUAUGUUAUAGUAAAAAA